AGCGAACGCUGGCGGCGUGCCUAACACAUGCAAGUCGAACGUGAAAAGGGAAACCUGAGUAAAGUGGCGUACGGGUGAGUAACGCGUAGGUAAUCUACCCCAGAAUCUGGAAUAACCUGCCGAAAGGCGGGCUAAUACUGGAUAGAGCGAGGGAACUCGUAAGAGAGUUUUUCGGGAAAGGGAGCCCGCAAGGGCCUUCGUUCUGGGAUGAGCCUGCGCCUCAUUAGCUAGUUGGUAAGGUAACGGCUUACCAAGGCGAUGAUGAGUAGCUGGUCUGAGAGGAUGAUCAGCCACACUGGAACUGAAACACGGUCCAGACUCCUACGGGAGGCAGCAGUGGGGAAUCUUGCGCAAUGGACGAAAGUCUGACGCAGCCACGCCGCGUGAGUGAAGAAGGCCUUCGGGUUGUAAAGCUCUGUCGGAUGGGACGAACAUCUUCAUAGUGAAUAGCUAUGAGGACUGACGGUACCAUCAAAGGAAGCACCGGCUAACUCCGUG
RNAcentral lists this ribosomal RNA (498 nucleotides) under uncultured bacterium. RNAcentral describes it as "partial 16S ribosomal RNA". It matches the Rfam family "Bacterial small subunit ribosomal RNA", at positions 29 to 507 of the family's 1533-position model. The record is from RNAcentral.